RNAcentral lists this ribosomal RNA (391 nucleotides) under Annelida sp. RNAcentral describes it as "partial small subunit ribosomal RNA". It matches the Rfam family "Eukaryotic small subunit ribosomal RNA", at positions 582 to 975 of the family's 1831-position model. Lineage: Eukaryota; Metazoa; Annelida. The record is from RNAcentral.
AUUCCAGCUCCAAUAGCGUAUAUUAAAGUUGUUGCAGUUAAAAAGCUCGUAGUUGGAUCUUGGGCUGUGGGUGAACACUUCUAGUCGCGAGACUGUUGUGGGCGCACGGGGCCUAUCUCUCCGGUGUCGCUGGUGGUCUUCACUGACUGUCUGUGGGUGCCGGAGACGUUUACUUUGAAGAAAUUAGAGUGUUCAAAGCAGGCUUACGCCUGAAUAAUGGUGCAUGGAAUAAUGGAAUCGGGCCCCGGUCUUAUUCUGUUGGUCUUCGAGACCCGAGGCAAUGAUUAAGAGGGACGGCCGGGGGCGUUCGUAUUGCGCUGUGAGAGGUGAAAUUCUUGGAUCGGCGCAAGACGAACUACAGCGAAAGCAUUCGCCAAGAAUGUUUUCAUCG